ACAGGGAUUGCCCCAGUAACUGCGAGUGAAGCGGCAAGAGCUCAGAUUUGGAACCUGCGGCGGCCGGAUUGUAAUCUGGAGAGACAUCUUCGGGGAGGGCCCCUGGAACGGGGCGUCGGAGAGGGUGAGAAUCCCGUAUCUGGCCGGCCCGUCCACCCCUGUGAAGUGUCUUCGACGAGUCGAGUUGUUUGGGAAUGCAGCUCAAAAUGGGUGGUAAGCUCCAUCUAAAGCUAAAUAUUGGCGGGAGACCGAUAGCGCACAAGUAGAGUGAUCGAAAGAUGAAAAGUACCUUGAAAAGGGGGUUAAACAGUACGUGAAAUUGUUGAAAGGGAAGCGCUUGAGACCGUAGCUGGAGGGGGAUGACCGGUGCUCUCUCGCCCUCUCAGGCCAGCAUCGGUUGGCGGCGGGACAAAGGAACGUGGCCCCCCCCCGGGCCGACAUGCCGCUGCCGCGACCGAGGACCGCACGAUGGUCUUCAGCGACCCGUCUUGAAACACGGACCAAGGAGUCUAACAUCUAUGCGAGUGUUUGGGUGCAAACCCUUGCGCGUAAUGAAAGUGAUUUAAGUUUGGGCGUACCAUCUGCCGAUCCUGAUGUCUUCGGAUGGAAUCGAGCAGGAGCAUAGCUGUUGGGACCCGAAAGAUGGUGAACUAUGCCUGAAUAGGGUGAAGCCAGAGGAAACUCUGGUGGAGGCUCGGUUCUGACGUGCAAAUCGAUCGUCAAAUUUGGGGCGAAAGACUAAUCG
This 745-nucleotide ribosomal RNA is filed under the name Wynnea americana. Its description in RNAcentral is "partial large subunit ribosomal RNA". It matches the Rfam family "Eukaryotic large subunit ribosomal RNA", at positions 68 to 937 of the family's 3401-position model. The record is from RNAcentral. Lineage: Eukaryota; Fungi; Ascomycota; Pezizomycetes; Pezizales; Sarcoscyphaceae.